This 697-nucleotide ribosomal RNA is filed under the name Bacillus subtilis. Its description in RNAcentral is "bacterial SSU rRNA". It matches the Rfam family "Bacterial small subunit ribosomal RNA", at positions 56 to 732 of the family's 1533-position model. Lineage: Bacteria; Bacillati; Bacillota; Bacilli; Caryophanales; Bacillaceae. The record is from RNAcentral.
UGCAGUCGUGCGGAGUGAUCGCGGUAGCUUGCUCCCUGAUGUUAGCGGCGGACGGGUGAGUAACACGUGGGUAACCUGCCUGUAAGACUGGGAUAACUCCGGGAAACCGGGGCUAAUACCGGAUGGUUGUUUGAACCGCAUGGUUCAAACAUAAAAGGUGGCUUCGGCUACCACUUACAGAUGGACCCGCGGCGCAUUAGCUAGUUGGUGAGGUAACGGCUCACCAAGGCAACGAUGCGUAGCCGACCUGAGAGGGUGAUCGGCCACACUGGGACUGAGACACGGCCCAGACUCCUACGGGAGGCAGCAGUAGGGAAUCUUCCGCAAUGGACGAAAGUCUGACGGAGCAACGCCGCGUGAGUGAUGAAGGUUUUCGGAUCGUAAAGCUCUGUUGUUAGGGAAGAACAAGUACCGUUCGAAUAGGGCGGUACCUUGACGGUACCUAACCAGAAAGCCACGGCUAACUACGUGCCAGCAGCCGCGGUAAUACGUAGGUGGCAAGCGUUGUCCGGAAUUAUUGGGCGUAAAGGGCUCGCAGGCGGUUUCUUAAUUCUGAUGUGAAAGCCCCCGGCUCAACCGGGGAGGGUCAUUGGAAACUGGGGAACUUGAGUGCAGAAGAGGAGAGUGGAAUCCCACAUGAAUCGGUGAAAAUGCGUAGAGGUGUGAGGACCACCGGUGGCGAAAGGCGGUUCCCUGC